CAAACGGAAUAAUGGGAAGAUGGUGAAAUGACGACCAGUUCUAAAAAAUGCUGGGUGUUUGGCAUUUUUUAGGCCUAUUCACUUUGGCCUCGGGUUGGCGAGAGAAUUCUACAUAUAAAAGUUCGGACGUUUAUGACUAUUAUGGAAUUUCGCCAACGGUCACCGAUGGUGGAAACUGGUAAGUUGAAAAAGACGAAAAUCUACAUCGAAGAUUAAAGGAUCUUCGAAAUCGAAUAAGGAUAUAAAAGAUCGUAAAUAAUUCGAUAUAUUUGGUGUUUUUAACUCCCAUCGCCUAUCGCAAGACUUUUACGAUUCUGUGGGGCGUUAAAUCCUUAAAAACGGUGUCGUCUUAUCACUUUUUAAACUCGUGAGGAUAGCUUAAAACUGUUAGCUUCCUUUUACUGUAACUUAUAAUUUAUUAACACGUUCGAGAGAUAAAUAGCUACAGCCAAUAUCGAAUCAAACGACAAACUGAUCAACUCAGAGUGUAAAUGACAACUUCUGGAUUGCACAGUAAUUGAAAAAAUCUCGAGUAACGUUCCAGCUUAAUGUCCUGUAUUAAUUCGUCUAUUCAUUUCGUCAAAAGGGAAGAGGUAGAUAACUUUAAGGGGAACAAUUCGAUUUUUUUCUUUGCGAGAAUAACGAAUACAUUAGCCACAGAAUCAAUAAAGAAACUAGCAAAAAAAUAGAUCCGCCGAACAAAUAAGUAUAAAAAGCACCGUCGGCGGGCUACCCCCUUCCUUACUUAUCACGGUUAUUAAUUAUCAUAAGGAUCAAUAUUUCGGCCAACAAGUUGCAAAAGUUGUCUUCCACUUCCGAAUUGAACCGCCAGACGAAAAGCAAAAGCCGAUUAUUAGAGGAAAAUUCCCGGGGCGAUAGAAAUUCGCCUCACGCACAAGCCGCCAUAUUUUCGCGUCUAUUUAACUUUCGGACGCCUUUUAAGACGGUUCUGCAAUAAUGAGCACGCAUGAAUCGAAUAAUUUGAAGAAGGUGACGACAAGAAUUUAGCAUUUUUGUAUUAGAGGAGGGUUGGUACCGAUCGAUUUAUCGGUAAGGGUAGAAAAGCUUUUGAAAAUGACAGGUGGUGCAGGAAAUGAAAGUGCGUUAAGUGGCCGUUCGUUAAUUGGCGUAGGACGGAACGCGCCUAGCAUCUUUUCCUAUAGUCUAAAUUCAUAUUAUUUACUUUCUAAGUCUUUUAUUUGGUAAACAUGCUAAUUCAUUCCUUAUAAAUUUAUACUGUAUAUUACUUUUUAUUUUCCCCUGCUGAAUGAAAACAGCUGCGAUGAGGAGAAAAAGAAAAACCCUGUUUUAUCUACGGAACCAUGUACUUUCGAAGGUAAAUUAAAAAGGCCAGUUAACUGGUUUGGCUAUAUAGCCGAAUUCGAUAUGGCACCUCAUAGUGGGAUUUUACAAUAUCAAAUAUCAUAUGCAAAGAAGGAUUGCUGUAUAAAAUUACUUCUUUAUUUACAUGAUGACGUAGACAAGAUGAGAGCUCACAUGAACUGUUUACAAAAACUGGGAGUUCUCGACCCUCGAAGCAACCAGGUUAUAACCUUGUCACCAACCACUGAAUCUUCCGGCUGUACCAGCAAUGAAACUGUGAGAAAUGGAAGAGAGAUGAUCGAUUGUAAGAGCGGAAGGAAACUGUCGUCGGCUCUGACUUUGCGCUGGUCGAUUGCUGUAAGUAGCUGUGGUUUGCCUAAGGGACUAGAUAUCUCAUAUAGGAUUAUAAUUCAUGGAUACGUCGGAACUUGUCCGACGAACGUUAACCACGCCUCAAAAAUCGACAAAUUUACGGUUUCGAUAAUGGUUUGGACUGUGAUAUUCACUUUCUUGAUGCGCCUGAACUAAAUGCUAUUUUAUUCCUUCUCAAUCUUCUUCCAAGAUGUUAUUUCUUUCUCCUUUUUCACUAUUGGCGUUAUCUCCUACUUUACUACUUUACUCAUUUUGUUCUUAACGGGUAACGCAGACAAUAUGACCUGAGAAUAAAGUCUUUAAAAAGCGGAUAUUCUACUUUCUCUCUUCAGCGACCUCUACUUCGCCUAAUUACUUCUUUGGAAGCGCUACUUUUGUUAUUUUUACCGAAUUGGCGCCCUAAGAAAGGAGAGGAAGAGAGGGAAACGAGUUAUCUAUUAAAAAAUAAGCGUUUUUCAGGCGUUGUCUAUUUUUUAUCAAAUAAAAAAAACAUUACUUUGGAUGUGUUGAAGGGUAUGAGAGAGAGAUUGAGUGAAGGGGAAAAAGGGAGGAGAAAAUGGAUGAAAGAGUGUUGUUGGGAGAGCAUUAAGAGUUAGUAAGCAUGUUAAGUUAUAGGAAGAGAAAAGAAAGAGAUAUAAUACAAAGGAAAGAGGGCGAGAGUUAGAAAGAUUGACGAGAGAGAAAGACAGGAAAAGUAUAGAAAUAUUAAAAGUAUAUGUGCGAGAGAAUGAAAGAAAGAAAUACAAUUGGAAUACAACACAAACCCUCUCUAACUUUCAAUGACAAAACGUCAAUAUGUAAAUAUUUAUCCACAAUAUACGAACUAACUAAGAGCAAACCGUUUAAUGCUUAAUAAAUAUACAUUCAUCGAAGUAAAAACAAUUAAAUCGACAUACGUCGAUUCUAUAUUAUUUAUUAGAUAGACCAUUAUAUAACCAUCCACCAGAAAAUAUUGAAACGAAUCGCCAUUGUUAGCUUCUGGUGUAAUAAUGCAAAUUAUAAACUGUAAACUUUACAAUUUGUUCUGUAGAGCACUUGUUAUAAAUCCAUUCAAUAGAAGAGUGAAGGUGAGGGCGGGGUCAAUAAAACUAUUUGAUUGAGUAGAUUCCCGUUUGCUAAAUAGAAAAGAUAUCAAACGAUACAUUGGACGGGUCGGCUGCCAAGAAACUUCGCUCAUUAUGAUCGUUAUCUAGAGCAUUGCAGUAGACCGCGUAACGCCGUUUUCGUUUCAGCAAUUUCAUUUCGACAGUGGAUGAGCCCAGUUGUAUAUUUCGUACGCAGUCAAUUACACAGAUAUAUUUGGAUUAAUCGCCUCCUGUAUAAACGAAAAAUGAUCUCCAUUGGGGAAUCCUAAGAUAAGCGGUCUAAAUAUUUGAUUAAGACCGACUAACAUAAAAAUAAAUUUAUGCAUGUAUUUCACAUCUCAUUUAAUAAGUUUUUCGCCGAAAAUACUCUUUUCAAUAUGGUAAUUAGACAAUGAAAAAGGAUGUACUCAUUGGGCUUGAGUUUAAUCGUUCCCCAGACUACGUAGAUUAUCCAUUACGUGUGUAUAAAUACAAUUUGGUAGAGAAGCAUGUGGAGUGCGUAGCCUUAUAAAAAAUAAUCAAUUUGUCCCACAAUAUAGCAUUUGCAAACCCAUCAAUAGCCAGCCAAAUGAAAAGUUUGCUCUAGUUACUCCAUUUUACGAGUAUUUACGACCAUUCCAUCAAAGGCCGGGUUCGUGACCGCUUGAAACUUCUCCAUAAUACCAUACUUUCUUUCAUCUAUCUUUACAGCUGAAAAAAAAGACUUUUUACAAAUCGAUAAAUACAGUAAAUAUUUGAUAUGAAUAUUUGCUGGUUGAUCGCUCGAGUAUCGCAUUGCAGUCCCUUAAAAUAAGAGCAUACACGGAAAUGACUAUUGUAAAGGAGAAAUAGUUGAAAAUAAGUUUAAAAUGAAAGGGCUGAAGCUAAAGGAACGUGACGCCCCGAAUAAUCGACGAUUUAACGCAAUAAUUAAUUUCUUCCUCUCCAACAUUUAUUACAUCCGUCUACAAUUUUUUAGUUAGACGCCUACAUUUCGUGCCACAAUAAAAGCGUGUCGAUUUCGAUUAGAAACACCUCCCAAAAAAUUGCUUACGCUACUGGAUUACCACCAGGGUUGAAGUUGAAAGGAAAGAGAAAGACUACGAUCGAAAGAAAAAGAAAAAAAUUCAGCUUCUGGAAGAAAUUUUCUCAUACUGACCUUUUAACGAUUUUCAAUGAAAGAUACGCGCCUGAGAAAUCGGCCAAUCUUUAGUCCGUGCGGAAUUCGAAAUCGAUUGAGGCUAUUUAAUUUGGGUAGAAAUUUGAACUGCCGCUCUUAUUUAACUCCUCUACCGUCUGUCUUUAAUAUUUUGCCAUCUCUCAUACCUUACAAUAAGGGCUUAAAAGGUUUGCGGUUGCUAUAUUUAAAUCCUACACCCAUUUGUAUUUGUCUGUUAAGUGCGUAUCAAUUCCAAAGCAUAAAAAGACUUUCAUAAAUUGAGUAAAUGAAUGAAAUCAUUGUUCUUAUAUGCCUAAGAGUAUUCGUGCAAUAAAUGAUUGAUGAGCUUCACUGAUCAAUUUCAUCUUUUCGCUUACUGCGUCGUUUUUCCCCGAGAUCGAAACAACAAGCUUUUUUUCAGUGAUAGUGUGCGACAAUCUUUUAUCGAUUAAUCAGCUUUGAACCACGAAAAGUAAAUUGUCAAUAUAUAUGCAUAAAUAACGUUGCAGUACUUUAUUGAAGCAAGAGUAGCUCUUGCAUUUUCUCCCACUAAUUAACCCAAUUUCUAAACGAACCCACUUGGUAUAUAGGCCUUUAUAUAAUCGAAACAAUGAUAGCUUUACAAUAAAAGUGAAAUCUUUGACAAGAAAACUAGAAAGAGGAGAAGAGAAAAAAAUGAACGAAUGAUUAGGAAAAAAGUUUUCAUUUCAGUUCUAACACCAACAGCGAAGAGUCUUCCUCAAGUUUUACUAUCUCCUUGUUAUAAGUGAUUAAUCAAUAUUAAAUGUCUUAUGUAGAAGUGUUCUAUCUCUCAUAAUUGACAAGAACGAAAAUCUACGUAUCAUUAAAUAGUGUAUGCACCUGCUCAUGUUUUUUAUGAUUUUGAUAAAAUUCGAUGGCUUUUUCCAAGAUUCUAGAUGGCAUUAGUGAGUAAUAAACUGGGUUAUAGGAAGCCCAAUAAGAACAGCCACUACAUUGACUAAAGUAGGGAAAUGAGGGGAUAUCGUAAAGUUACAAAAAGAUUGAAUGGAAUUAGUGCAUUUGCCAUAUAAACACAAUUUGAGGAAGAGAAUAGCCUCUUGAUUUUCUCUUUUAUAUUCUGCUAUGUUCUUUUUGUAUUUGAGAACAAUUGACUUCGAAAGGACUUUUCUUUCGAUUUCUUGUCUAAAAAACCCAUUUUUUCUUUUUCAUUCUCCCAGUUUCGUAUUUAUCUUAUGUUUUUGUAUUUUAUUAAUAUUUGAUUUAUUUUCCGUAUGCUCUGUGAACAAAUAUAGUAUAAAAACCAAUUGGAAUAUCUGAUUACCUUCUUCGGUAGUUGGCGCUUAUUACCUACUUUCUCAAGCGACAUCUUACGGAUUCUCUCGUAAUUGAAAAGAAAAUUUGUACAUCUUUGUACGAAAAGUCUAUUUUCGCCACUCUCCGAGAGAUAAAUAGGAAAUCGUUAAGGAACAUUGAUUUAUGAGGAAGCAUUCGAUAGAAUAAUUGUUUGAUGAAUUAAGUAAAUAAAUAAGAUUCCAUAGAUGUUAUUAAUUUACUUUACUUAUUUAUAGUUUUUUUAUUUCAAUUUGCCAUUUUGCAUCUGAGCAUUCCGAAGGUCCACCGGUUACGGUGGCUAUGUAAAGAACGUUACUGCAGGUUUCAGUAUCUCGAUUAAAGCACACAAAACUGGGUCUUCCCAAUACCCUUAGAGCACCUUUUGCCUUAAAAUUAGAUUGAAAAAGUAAUAUUUUCCAUUGUUUAAAGCAGGCAACAGCAAACUCAUUUCCUGGUAAAAUACACAAACCUAUCGGAUUUGUAUGCUGAGCUAAGCUGACCUCCGUUAGAACCGACUUAUCAUUUUUGUCCAUUAUUAAUAUAUUUUCAUCAAUGCAAUAUUGUAGUGAUGCAUAUAAAUUCUUCGUUCCGACACUCAUAGACAGGACCUUACCUAACCGCGUUAUCUCCCAAUUAUCUUUCGAUUCGCUAAAGGAUAAAUAUUGAACAAUACUUGUCUCGUUCUUACAUUCAUCGAUUGCAAAAUAAACACCUGUUUCAUCAACAGAUAAUGCUGAGAUCAGUCCCAAUUUUGUAUUAAAGAAUGAGUUCUUAGUACCAUCUUCCGAAUUUCUAUAUAUAUUUUCCUUAUCACAAGUGAAAAUUUCAUCUUUUUCAUCUAUUGCAAAACCAGUUAAACUAAUGAAUCCAUUCAUUGAAAUUAUCGUCUCAAUUAACUCCCCCAAUAAGGUAAAUUUCUUUAAUUCGGUGCGGAUAGACUCCUUUCCUUCACCUUUGCAGCUCAUCAAAAUAAACAAAUUUUUCUUGCUCAUUUUCAUGUCGAUAAUAUGGGAGCAGUCCAACUCAAAUCCAUCUUUUGCCUUAAUGGAUGUCAUAGUAGCAAUAUAAAUGCAAUAUUCAAACAAAAUUAACAAGCACUCUAAGAUUAUCGUAAGAAACUGUAAAGCUCUGUAAAAAUACUGUAAAAUAAUAUCUAAUACAUGCAAGAGUUUUGGCCUUCUGACUAAAAUAAAUCAGACAAUAUUGAUUGACUGUUACCAUGGCCUGUUGCCAAGAUAUACUUUGGUCUAGUGUUGGAUUGCAAUUUAUUUAUGUCAUUUUUCUGCUAUUUUUACGAGCCAUUUAUCAUAUAGUAAAUUUUUUUGAUCAAAAAUAAAUCAAAAGAAUACUAUUCUCUUCAUUUAAAGUAUCUCCUUCUCUUCCUUCGCUAAUCCUCCCAUCUCUUUUGCCG
Molecule: unclassified non-coding RNA, 6643 nt
Filed under: Dimorphilus gyrociliatus
Lineage: Eukaryota; Metazoa; Annelida; Polychaeta; Dinophilidae
Description: dgyrCDS7286
Source: RNAcentral